This 433-nucleotide ribosomal RNA is filed under the name uncultured bacterium. RNAcentral's name for it is "partial 16S ribosomal RNA". It matches the Rfam family "Bacterial small subunit ribosomal RNA", at positions 29 to 507 of the family's 1533-position model. The record is from RNAcentral.
AACGAACGCUGGCGGCAUGCCUAACACAUUCAAGUCGAACGAGACCUUCGGGUCUAGUGGCGCACGGGUGCGUAACGCGUGGGAACCUGCCCUUCGGUUCGGAAUAACUCCCCGAAAGGGGUUCUAAUACCGGAUAAUGUCUUCGGACCAAAGAUUUAUCGCCUUUGGAUGGGCCCGCGUUGGAUUAGCUAGUUGGUAGGGUAAAAGCCUACCAAGGCGACGAUCCAUAGCUGGUCUGAGAGGAUGAUCAGCCACACUGGGACUGAGACACGGCCCAGACUCCUACGGGAGGCAGCAGUGGGGAAUAUUGGACAAUGGGCGAAAGCCUGAUCCAGCAAUGCCGCGUGAGUGAUGAAGGCCUUAGGGUUGUAAAGCUAUUUUACCCGGGAUGAUAAUGACAGUACCGGGAGAAUAAGCUCCGGCCAACUCCGUG